Molecule: long non-coding RNA, 258 nt
Filed under: Brassica napus (rape)
Lineage: Eukaryota; Viridiplantae; Streptophyta; Magnoliopsida; Brassicales; Brassicaceae
Description: long non-coding RNA (BNAP_LNC025566)
Source: RNAcentral
AAUCACAUUCUUCUUCUUGCGAUAAGCUAUCUUCAUCUUCCUCAUUACUAUGUCGUUUCAAACUCGGCAUUGUCUUCAAUCCCUUUGAUUAUCAUUGCUUUGAUGCGUAGACACUAAAAAGAAGCCCCUUCUGAAACCCUGAUCUCGCCUCAAAAAUUAUGGACUCUGUAUCAUGCUUUGAUUAAACUAACAAAUCCACCUUCCGAGAUUGACCCACCAUCGCAGAUCGCAUACAAUUGCAGAGGAAUUGAUCUUCUU